CGGGCUCCAUCUCCAGGCCUCCCACUUCACCCUGGGACAUUAUAGUCGCUGGUCAGACCUCAUGACUCACUUGGACUCUUGAGCCACCUCUGGGGGUGGAGUCUCUCUCCUGGCAUCUGGACCCUUGGUGCUAUCGACGAAGCUUGGCUGGCACUCUUAGCUGCUAUGUGCAAGACAUGUGUCCCAGGGAAAGCCCCUCUCUCUCUGCAGAGGUCAAGUGAAAGCCACAGCUGCAGCCAACAGAGUUCAAAAUGCAGGCUUGGAAAGUCCAGGGGGCUCUGUGGAGGAGAUUAGUCCUGAGAGAUUGACACCAGAGCCACCUGAUGAGUGUGGGUGCUUGGAGCCUUGGACUCGAUGACCUACCUAUCCUGCCUCCCACCUGACUACUGAAGUAGGGGAGGUCACGGGCCUCAGUUUACCUGCUUUCAGCCUCUGCCCUUCCCGAGAGGGAUGAAGCCGACUUACUGCAUCACAGUUUUGUCCUUUAGUUCAUCGGCUCUGGAACUUUCC
This 510-nucleotide long non-coding RNA is filed under the name Pongo abelii (Sumatran orangutan). RNAcentral describes it as "lincRNA". The record is from RNAcentral. Lineage: Eukaryota; Metazoa; Chordata; Mammalia; Primates; Hominidae.